GGUCCUCCGGGUCCAUCGGGUCCCCCCGGACCAAAGGUGACAUGUCAAGUUCAUUAAAUAUCUGGUUGUAUUAACUACUGAAUAUGUACACUCUGGUUAUAGUCCAAUUUAUUGUUCGUGACUUCCUUUCAGACAUUAAAAUGACAUUAAAGUUGUUUCUGUGCAGGGUACCAUGACUAAAGUCCUGAAGGGAGUCAAAGGAGAGCAAGUGAGUACUGCUGUUCUAAACAAAUUUAGGAACACUUUGUGUGUCAUGUAAAAUGAUAGAGACCAAAUUAGCCAAAGAAAGUUGUCCAAAAACUGCUUCAAAAAUGCUGAAUUAAGUGGAGGAAUCUGAAAAUAUUGUGUACAAGUGAAAGAGCUUUUUAUAAGGAAGCACAUUAACGUUCUUAGCUUUUUGUAAGGAUUUGACUCUAUUUAAAAAACGUAACAUAACAACAACACUUCUUUACAUGUUUUGGCUGCAGGGAGAUGUUGGACAGCCAGGCCCACCAGGAAACGACACUCGGCAGCAAAUAAAGCCGCCCUCUGUAAUCUGCAAUUUCCUCUUAUUUUUAUGCAAUGGUGCAAUCAAGGACGUCUGGUUCAUAAAGGAACUCCUUUUUUUGUGUGUUUUUUUGUUUGUUCAAGGGACCACCUGGAGAGAAAGGGCAAAAAGGACAAGAAGGAGAAGUGGACAUCAUUACAGGAGAACCCGGCAUACCGGGACCACCGGGACCCAGGGUCAGCACCGUCGCUUUUUCAAACUCCUGAGGACUCCAUUGUAUGCGUCUUCUUUAAAUUUUACUUUGUGCAUGAUUUUUUAUUCUUUUACAGGGGGAAAUGGGUAG
This 830-nucleotide long non-coding RNA is filed under the name Oryzias sinensis (Chinese medaka). RNAcentral describes it as "lncRNA (ENSOSIG00000015739.1)". Lineage: Eukaryota; Metazoa; Chordata; Actinopteri; Beloniformes; Adrianichthyidae. The record is from RNAcentral.